UUGAAAGAGUGAGAAGAAAGAUUUCAAGUUACCUGUUUCAUUUGACUCUCUUGAAACUCACAUUUUUCUCUCUACUGUCUCUCUUGUUCUUUCUCUCCCCUUCCUUGCUCAAUCUCACUCAUUAUCCUGAAAUAACUUUUAGUUGAUUUCAAUUCUGAAGGCCAUCCAGCUUUACAUGUUUGUGAGUUCGCAAAGUAAAUCCCGCAAGAUCAAUAAAAUAAAAUUAUUCAACUCCAGAUCGGUCCCAGUUUUUAUUUCGCAACAAAACUGACUUAUCUCGUGAUAUUGAAAAUACAUGACAACUUAUUUUUCUUAACCAGUUUACUUCUCAUCAAAUCAUUGAUCUUCAAGCCAUCGUUUAAUCAUUCAAUUUGUUCAUUGUGAUUAUGAAUCUAAUUGGUGAAAAUUUCUUUAACCGUUGGUAUAUUGUCGCUCCUGUUCUAGGAUUAAAUUUAUAUUUCAUUGGUGUGUUUCUCAGGACAUUUUUAACUUCAAUUAGUGAGUUCAUCAGACAUUGGAAAGCCUUUUAUGAAUUACUGGAUGAAUUGUGUACAUUGAAUCGACAGCAAAACUUGGAAUAUAAUGAUCGCCGUGGGCGUCGUGUUGUCAGACGAUGUUGUGGUUAACAAGUGGUUGAGACUUGAAAGAACCAAAAGAUUAAACCAGAACUAUAAGGAUAUAAGAAACAACAAAUGAUGUCUAUGGUCAAGUGUUUUAUGAUUAACAAUGAAAAGACGAUGGAAAACAAUGUGAAAACGAAUUCAUAAUUUAAAGUCAAGCACCGAAAUAAUACCAUGACAGCAAAAGUCCCUUCGAUCGUCAAUUAUCAAAUUAACUAUACUAGUCUCUCAUUACUCCACCAUAAUUAUCACCAUCAACACUUUCUCAACCAUUCAUAGAUCAUCAACAAUGCUUCAAUGUGUAUUCCUUUUGUAAUAUUUCUUCAGCUUUAUCCUUCUCAUUUCCCUUCUUGUUCAGAGUAAGAAAAAUGUUCAAGGUUUCCCAAGCUUUUAAUGAUCUAUCUCCACAUGCUGAGGCUUCACAAAAUACAGUAAAUCCUGAACCUUUUCAGCACUUUUACUAUUCGCAAUUAUCUUCAUUGUACUUUUACAAUUUCUAGUUUUGGCGACACACGCCUAGAAGCCCAUUGGUAACCCGAUAGACCAUUAAGCAUGUUAAACAAUAUCUUUUAACAUCUAAUCAUUAACUGUCAAGGUAGAUCAUUCGUUGUUUUAAUGAAUCCUUGAACAUUUUUCGAUUCUUCGUCUUCCUUAAUUUUUAUCUGAUUGUUCAACUUCUUGUUUACUGUAUUGACCAGUACAUUGUAAUACAAUUCAAUCAACCAGAAAAAAGCUUAUUUUUUAAUAUUU
Molecule: long non-coding RNA, 1370 nt
Organism: Tetranychus urticae (two-spotted spider mite)
Lineage: Eukaryota; Metazoa; Arthropoda; Arachnida; Trombidiformes; Tetranychidae
Source: RefSeq, a predicted model, not a curated record